AACGAACGCUGGCGGCAUGCCUAACACAUGCAAGUCGAACGAGACCUUCGGGUCUAGUGGCGCACGGGUGCGUAACGCGUGGGAACCUGCCCUUAGGUUCGGAAUAACUCCCCGAAAGGGGUGCUAAUACCGGAUAAUGUCUUCGGACCAAAGAUUUAUCGCCUUUGGUUGGGCCCGCGUUGGAUUAGCUAGUUGGUAGGGUAAAAGCCUACCAAGGCGACGAUCCAUAGCUGGUCUGAGAGGAUGAUCAGCCACACUGGGACUGAGACACGGCCCAGAAUCCUACGGGAGGCAGCAGUGGGGAAUAUUGGAAAAUGGGCGAAAGCCUGAUCCAGCAAUGACGGGUGAGUGAUGAAGGCAUUAGGGUUGUAAAGCUCUUUUACCCGGGAUGAUAAUGACAGUACCGGGAGAAUAAGCUCCGGCUAACUACGUG
Molecule: ribosomal RNA, 433 nt
Filed under: uncultured bacterium
Lineage: Bacteria
Description: partial 16S ribosomal RNA
Rfam family: Bacterial small subunit ribosomal RNA
Source: RNAcentral